Podarcis raffonei (Aeolian wall lizard) is the source of this 2767-nucleotide long non-coding RNA. RefSeq lists it as uncharacterized. The transcript is spliced from 2 exons. NCBI's taxonomy places the organism in Eukaryota, Metazoa, Chordata, Lepidosauria, Squamata, Lacertidae. The record is from RefSeq and is a predicted model, not a curated record.
GGCGCACGCGCGAAAGGCGCGGUUUCCGGAUCGACCGCUCCCCGCCUCUCGCCCCUCCCGCCCGCAAGACCAGCCGCGGCGCGUCGACAUAGAGCUGGGAAAAAGGCAAGAGUCGCGAGUCCGGUGUUCCGUGGCGGGAAACGCCCGUGUCCGUUUUGGCGCACUGAGGGAGGCAGAAGAGCGGAGAUGGCGGCGGCCGAGCGGCACCCACCCAAUGCAUUGAGAAAAGGGAGAGACUGUAGCUCAGCAGAAGACCACAUGUUUUGCAUAGCAUUCAGUCCUUGCCACCUCCAGUUAAAAUUGAUCAGGUUAACAGGUGAUCGCCGAAGAAUUGAUGCUUUUGAAUUAUGGUGCUGCAGGAGACUCUUGAGAGUCCCGUGGACUGCAAGAAGAUCAAACCUAUCCAUUCUUAAGGAAAUCAGCCCUGAGUGCUCACUGGAAGGACAGAUCCUGAAGCUGAGGCUCCAAUACUUUGGCCACCUCAUGAGAAGAGAAGACUCCCUGGAAAAGUCCCUGAUGUUGGGAAAGAUGGAGGGCCCAAGGAGAAGGGGACGACAGAGGACGAGAUGGUUGGAUAGUGUUUUCGAAGCUACCAGCAUGAGUUUGACUAAACUGUGGGAGGCAGUGGAAGACAGAAGUGCCUGGCUUGCUCUGGUCCAGGGGGUCACGAAGAGUCGGACACGACUAAACAACAACAACAACAACAGGUGACAGGAAAGAUCUAUCUUUGCUCAAGACCCCUGGACAGCCCCUGCCAAUGGGGAGUAGACAAUACUGGGCUAGAGGGGCAAAUACUCUAUCCUGGAGCUUCGUAUGUUCCUUUAUGUAGUACAAUAAAGAGCCCAAGACCAAUUUUCCUGUUGAUGUAUCUCCACAUCCUCUCUGCCCUUUGAUGCCCUGUGGAAUGUCCUUCUGAAAAUUGGCUGCCCAUGGAAGACAAUCUUACUCGGCUACGAGUGAUCGCCAAAGAGGAAGAAGAAGCAUCCUCUCUUUGCUGCUCCCCCUACUGGAUCCAACCAAGAGUAGCAGGACAGUGGGCCAUUACAGUCACCUCUAGCGAUGGCCAAGAGCAGCUCUGCACCUUUACAUGGUUGCACUUGCUGCGGUUCCUCCGUGUUUCCCUGCCGCUGUUGUGUGAAGCCAAUACAACCAGUGUGCUUCCUUCAACAUCCACAUUCAUGUGUUGGAUCCACAGCUCAAGCAAGCCUAACCCCCUCAGGAAUAUGCAUGCGGGUGUUUCAAGGACACCCUUUGCUCUGGAUAUGUAGUUAACUUGCUUAAUUCCUUAAGUGGUGUGAUGUAUUUUAACCUAAUCAAUGUGAUAUAUUUAAGCAAACUAAAUCAAAGCUCCUUACAACUUUUAAAAAAACCACCACCACCACCCUACAACGGGUGAAUAAUUUAGUCAAAAAACAGAACAAUCUAGCGAAUAAAACAAUCUCACAGCUGGGAGGCUUAUAUAAAAAGACGUUUUCAGACCCUUCUGAAACCCCUGCAGUGUUAUUAACAUGACACAGAUCUGACAUACAGCAAGGGAGAGACGCCAGGGCUCUCCGUGUUCCCUUCCAAGUCCUUUCCACUUGCUGUGGCUCAUACCUGGAUCCCCAUGGGCCACUGCAGGCGAGGGAGAAAGCUGAAUGGCAGCAAGAGUAGGGAGCAAUUCGGGCAGAGGAGCCACACCAGUUUCCUCACAUGCUGUAGUGGGUUUAAAACAAUGUCUCUUGUGUCCGAGGUGAGAUGUGGCAAAAUCAUACCAUCUAUGCCAGAAAUGGGGAACUUGUGGCCCUCCAAAUGUUGCUGAGCUCCCAACUCCCACUAGGCUCAGCUGUCAUGGCCGAUGGGAGUUGUAGUCUGCAGCAUCUGAAGUGCCACAUGUUCCCUAUUCGUUGUCUAUACUUGAUGAACCAAAGCCUCUAAUGUACUAUUGUGGAGCUGCUCUUGGACACAAGCUUCAGUAGGCCCAAGACAUCUAGUGGUGGCACUGGUAAGGUAAGGAGGGACAGAAGACCUUGACAUGAGCAGCCCACUUGGAGAGGUUCUCACCGCCCAGCUAGCCAUAGGAAUAAGCUCAAACUCAUAUACCAAUGGUGGUCUCGCAGAACUUCUCGUCGGCCACCUCGUUGGCGAUGUUGGCCCCCAUAAGCACACUCAUUUCGAUGCCAAGCUGCUCGCGGAUGAUGUCCGAUAUCAGCUUCAGACCAUCGGGUCCUUCAUCCACACCCUGGGAUUCAACAGAACAUGACGUGGUCAGUGGGGUAUCUCUGCUGAGAUCCCUCAAGUAGCCCCUAGUCCUUCUGAGAGCAUCCUUAUCCCCCAAAGAGAUGCAACAGCAUACAAUAGAUGUUGUGGCUAGCGGUGGCUGCUCCCAGACUUUGGAACACCCUUCCUAGAGAAAAUGGACUGGCUCCCUCCUUGCUGUUGGACUUUCUUGUUCCAACAGGCUUUGGGGAACUGACUAGCUUUAAGGAAAAGGCUGGCAGAGCCAGUGUGGUGUAGUGGUUAAGAGCAGUGGACUCGUAAUCUGGUGAACUGGGUUUGAUUCCCCGCUCCUCCACAUGCAGCUGCUGGAUGACCUUGGGCUAGUUACACUUCUUUGAAGUCUCUCAGCCCCACUCACCUCACAGAGUGUUUUUUGUGGGGGAGGAAGGAAAAGGAGAUUGUUAGCGACUUUGAGACUCCUUAGGGUAGUGAUAAAGUGGGAUAUCAAAUCCAAACUCUUGGUGCUGUGAUGUUUUUAUUGUAAGUAAAUUAAUAUAUAUUUUGUGUA